AAAACUAACUCACUUUCGCAGGAAUCGCGAUUGCAUUUACCGUAUGCAAUAAGGCUUUAAACCCCUAGGUGGCCCUAGUGGACGAGUUUUGUCUCGUGAGGGUUUCCGGCUCAGAUACCCACAAACUGUUUGUCUCUACUCAAAGAGUUAUUAUUUUAUAAAAUCUAAUUUUAAAUGCAUAAAUGCCAAGAAUUUCAAAAGCACACAAAGUUUUAAUUACCAAGUCAGCCCAAAUCCUAGGUCAGUAUGCAACUUAAGUUGAAGUCAUUAACUUUUCGUUA
This 281-nucleotide long non-coding RNA is filed under the name Phoenix dactylifera (date palm). RNAcentral's name for it is "long non-coding RNA (PDAC_LNC005250)". The record is from RNAcentral. Lineage: Eukaryota; Viridiplantae; Streptophyta; Magnoliopsida; Arecales; Arecaceae.